RNAcentral lists this ribosomal RNA (442 nucleotides) under uncultured bacterium. RNAcentral's name for it is "partial 16S ribosomal RNA". It matches the Rfam family "Bacterial small subunit ribosomal RNA", at positions 338 to 795 of the family's 1533-position model. The record is from RNAcentral.
CCUACGGGUGGCAGCAGUGGUGAAUAUUGGUCAAUGGGCGCAAGCCUGACCCAGCAACGCCGCGUUAAGGAAGAAGGCUUUCUGGUUGUAAACUUCUUUUUACCUGGAAGAGCAGCAGACGGUACCUGUCGAAUAAGCCACGGCUAACUACGUGCCAUCAGCCUAGGUAAUACGUAGGUGGCGAGCGUUGUCCUGAUUUACUGGGUGUAAAGGGCGUGUAGCCGGGCUGACAAGGCAGAUGUGAAAUCCGGGGGCCAAACCCCCGAACUGCAUUUGAAACUGUUGGUCUUGAGUCUCGGAGAGGUAGGCGGAAUUCGUAGUGUAGCGGUGAAAUGCGUAGAUAUUAGGAGGAACACCAGUGGCGAAGGCAGCCUGCUGGACGACAACUGACGGUGAGGCGCGAAAGCGUGGGGAGCAAACAGGAUUAGAUACCCUUGUAGUC